RNAcentral lists this small RNA (281 nucleotides) under Prolemur simus (greater bamboo lemur). RNAcentral's name for it is "7SK RNA (ENSPSMG00000023304.1)". It matches the Rfam family "7SK RNA". Rfam says of the family: 7SK was discovered as an abundant small nuclear RNA in the mid-70s but a possible function has only recently been suggested. Lineage: Eukaryota; Metazoa; Chordata; Mammalia; Primates; Lemuridae. The record is from Rfam by way of RNAcentral.
GGAUGUGAGGGGUGAUCUGGCUGUGACAUGUCACCCCAUUGAUCGCCAGGGUUGAUUCGGCUGAUCUGCCUGGCUAGGUGGAUGUCCCCUCCUCCCUCACCACUCCAUGUGCGUCCCUCCCAAAGCAGCACACUCAGUCAAAGAGGACAACUUUCCCCAAUAGAGGAGGACCAUUCUUUGGUCAAGGUUAUGUGAGUAGCUGCGCUCCCCUACUACAACCUCCAAACAAGAGUCAAGUCUACCACCUGCCAUUUGUACCUAAACAUGUUAUUGUUAUGUUU